CCCCUUUAUGACGUCACCACCAGCCGCUCUGACCGUAUAUAUUUGUCGGCGGAGGAAAACCGAGAAGUAAACUUGGGGAAAACCGUCGUUCAGGAGACGGAGGAGAGAUGGGCAGUUUCACUCCUUCAUUUCCUCCAUCAUUCAGCACUCUUUAUUUAAUGUGUUCAUUGUGUUCAUCAUUAACACAUUCAUCAUCGCCCUGGAGGAAGAGUACAGUGAUUCAGGAGUGUUCUGGGGAUAGGGUUGUCCCGAUUCUUGUUCAUGAAUGUCCCGAUUCAUGAACACAUUCACCGUCGCCCCGGAGGAAGAGUACAGUAACUCAGGAGUGUUCCAGGGAUAGGGUUGUCCCGAUUCUUGUUCAUGAAUGUCCCGAUUCAUGAACACAUUCACCGUCACCCCGGAGGAAGAGUACAGUAACUCAGGAGUGUUCCAGCCUACGAUACCCCAUCAUCAAGCAAUUACUGCCAUUUCAGCGCACCUUUGCUGUUCCUUGGGGAUUAUGCUGGUAACAUUGAUGGCACAACGUCCUGUCUCCUGGGCUUAAAAAAAAAAUGUUCUUGAGGUCCAGUUCCACUUCAUUCAUUUUGGAGAAUAGCAGUCCUGGUGAAGCACUUGUUCUCACCACAGGAAAGGACAGCCGACAGGUCAAACUACACUCAUAUAGAGGAGAAAAUACCACUGGAUGGGGAAGAAACACAACUAGCAUCUUUUAAGACCACUUUUGGUUAGUUAGUUAAAUCUGCUCCUUUAGAGCAAAUCACUGUAUAUUGUGGUUGAUUAUAAAUUCUUGUGUUUCUUCAACAUCACUCCAGAGAGGGGCACAAAAAUUGAAACAAGGAAAAACAAGAAAAAACUGUCAGUCCUCACCCUCAUCGCAGAUCUCUCUGAUCACGAGUGGAGAGGGACAUGUUAAGGAUGGAUUUAUCCCACUGAACUCUUAUACAGUUCUAGCUGUACGGAACAAUAUACACUGUUAACUGUUGACAUUCAGAAUAGUGUUCUUUGAUGUUUUUAGUUAGCUUUAGUGUUUUAAUAAGCAGUGUUUGGUUCUGUUAAAUUUAUGUGAACUGGCUUAUUGUACAAUUACUGUUUGGCAAACAGUAAUUUAGUUCUUUAAGAUUUUACAGUACAUACAGGGAGUUUCCCAAUUUUGGCUAUUGCCAGAAGCAACUUUUCAGAAGGUUUGGUCACUUUUUUAUUUGAAAUAGUCUGUGACCCAUGCAGGGAGUUUGCAGAGCUUAUUGGCUAACAAUGCAUUGAAGUGAAUAAAACGGUCUCUGAAGACCACUUGAGCCUUAGUUUCAGUGCUUUUGUGACACUCCAGAGUAGGUUGAAGGAUGCUGGCAUUGCUAAGAUUUAAUAAUCUCCUCUAAGGUAAGUAAACUGAGCACGUCUAACAAAUGUUUUAACAUUUUAAGAGUAAAAUGUCUUAAUUAUCUAUACACACUGCUCUUGUAUAAAUUCUGUUUAUUACAAGUAAGAAUAAGCCUUUCGCUCUUGCCACCUUUCAUGCAUUGCAUUCAUACUCUUAUGAGCGGUUAUAGGCUUGGAAGGAACCACUUGCUGGCCUUUGUGGCAACCAGGGAAACGAUGCAGUAGUAAUAGACAGGAAACACAGCGGAGAGAGGGGAUGAUAUGCAGAAAAGGGCCCAAGCUGGAAUGGAACCUUGGAUGCUGCAAUAACAAUAUGUAUGUGUUCUACCAGGGCUUAUUACGUCUACCAGUGGUUGUACUUGACAUGGAUUUCGUCAACCUCUGUCCUACCAUUCUGCGCUUCUCAUCAGAUACCACACGGUGCAGCUGGAAAAAAGGCGAGGAUGUCAACUUUGCAGGAAUGUGCGAGCACUUUGAUUUGUCAUCAGCGUUAUCAACGCUCAGCAUCGAAAAUCAUGGAUGCUGCAUCCUCUGGGAUGAAAAAGGAGGUAGGGAGAUUGAGGGAGAAACUGUGGAGACCCCAGAGAGGAUCCUCGCCAGUCCACAGCAAACACCUGACUGACAAGUUGUGAUGAUGAUGACAGCACCUGCUCAAAGCUCCCGUUUUCUGAACAUCAUACCCUGACUGUAUUGGACUCUAUCCCACCGCUCUGCAUUCAAGUCUGAACCCAACGUCUUGGACACCAGUCUUGUCAAGGGUAAUUAGAGAGAGGAUGGUGCCAGCCCACAGUGAACAAACACCUGAUGGGCAACAUGUGAGUCCUCAAGCAGAACUGGUGACAAUACAUGCCUUAAGUUCCAGUUUCUUGAACAUCAUGUCCAUGUGAGAGUCUGUCCCAUGUUGAACACCCUCUUCAGUCAAGUGGCUAUUUGUUUCCAUGAGGUUUAUUCAUUCCACCAUGGAUUAUCCUAUAUAUGGACACAUGCUGGUUUUUUUCAAGAUCUCAACACGAAUUUUGAAAUUCUGGCAACCACAGCUGCCGGGACUCCACAGGAAACCAGAGAGCUCAUCCGGUUCCGAGCAGAGAAUAAGCAUUUUCUUCAAUCAAAAAGUGCUGCAAAACCACUUUGGGCGACCUGAAAACUCCCAAAGCAGGGUCUGGAACAGAUGCUGGUGAAGUAACAGCUGCCACAUUGCAGUUUUUUGAAGACAUGCAUGAGGUGCUGGGUGCCAGGCCUUCAAUGGACCCUCCUGUUGUGGUCGUAUUUUUUGGUCCUGAUGCUGAUCCCACAACAAUACUUAAGAUGGUCGAGGCCACGAGUGCCAGCACCACCUCAAGCCCCUCUUCCAUGACAGCCAGUACAUCAGUAGCCUCUCCUAUGGCCCCAAGCCCCCCAACCCCUUCACCAAGAGCAGAAGCGCCAUGAGGAGAGUGAGGAGCCCCUGCAGACCAUGCAUGGCUCUUUUGCUGAGGCGGAAAUCCUGCUUUAGCUCUACAUUAAAUCACAAACGCAAGAUGGGCAUGUGAUCCAGUUUGCAGCACAACAUAGGAUGACCAGUCUGGAAAAGAAAAUGAGCUCACAUCAUUACUCUCAACUGGAAAGAUUUUUAACCGGCUCUGGUUGUGAUGCUGGCUAAAGCCAUGAAGAGAGCUGUGUAUGUGAUGAGUUUGGUGUUCUUCAUGUUCAUCUUUGCUGUUGCUGGAGUUCUCUAUUUCGGAGAGCAGGCUUCAGGGGACCUCGAGCACUGGGGGGAUUUGGGGUCCGCCCUGCUCACCAUCUUUGGCUUAGUAACACUGGACGGCUGGGUGGAUCUGCUGAAGAAAGUAGAUAGUUCAGGAGUGACCUACAGUCGGCUCUUCCUCAUCAUCUUCAUACUGAUAGGCCACUUCAUUUUCUUCAACAUGUUCGUGGGUUUGGUCAUCAUGGAGGUUGAGCGCAUGACUAAAGCCCGUGAGGAGGAGUCUCUGCAGGAGCGGAAGGCAGCGCAGAAAAGAAAGAAGCAGAAAAUAAACAAUGAAGCAGCUGAUUGGGAGUCAGGUGAGUGCAGGUUGAGUCAGGGGAGUGAAAGUAGAGUUCUACACAAAACUGAGUGGGAAACACCUGUAAAGAAAUAAGAAGCUUUUUUAAUGACAAAGCACUUUGAAAUGAGGCAGUGGUGUUUCACGUGUCUCAGAAGAAAGCAGGUGCUAGCCUUCACUCUCCCAGCUUGGUAACAUUGUUUGAUAAGUGGAGAACUAC
Colossoma macropomum (tambaqui) is the source of this 3615-nucleotide RNA transcript. It is a transcript of the gene named cation channel sperm-associated protein 3-like, with no coding region annotated. The record is from RefSeq and is a predicted model, not a curated record. The transcript has 20 exons. NCBI's taxonomy places the organism in Eukaryota, Metazoa, Chordata, Actinopteri, Characiformes, Serrasalmidae.